CAGCGCACUCCGGGGUCGGUGUAAUUCCGAACCGGCGGUAUAGUCCGCGACCCGUCCGCAGCCAGCGGCCGGUUGACCAGGUGAAAUUCCUGGACCGACGGUGAAAGUCCGGAUGGGAGGCAGUGCGCGG
Molecule: regulatory RNA element, 130 nt
Organism: Streptomyces venezuelae ATCC 10712
Lineage: Bacteria; Bacillati; Actinomycetota; Actinomycetes; Kitasatosporales; Streptomycetaceae
Rfam family: FMN riboswitch aptamer (RFN element)
About the family: The RFN element is a highly conserved domain that is found frequently in the 5'-untranslated regions of prokaryotic mRNAs that encode for flavin mononucleotide (FMN) biosynthesis and transport proteins. This element is a metabolite-dependent riboswitch that directly binds FMN in the absence of proteins.
Source: Rfam